GUUUCCAGACUCCGCUCCUGUAUAGUUGUUAAGGGAGAACUUUCUAGUCUUGACCUGUACUAAUUUUUAAUAUAAUUUAUUUGAAGGAGAUUUGCAUGCAAACCUUGCUGCUUCUUCUUUUUUUUUUUUUCUUUUUUUUUUUUUUCCUGAGUUGCAGUAAUUUUUGAAAGAACAGUUUGGCAUACUAUUGAAUACCAUUUAGAAGACUAUUCAUUGGAAUUCAAAGCAUAUCUGAAUUUUGGAAGUCUCCUCACUAGUCCAACAGAUGUGGUAAGCUCACCUCAGGGGAUGAGGGACAUGACUUCAGUUUGCAGUAGAAGAGGAUGAAGAGCUGUACCCAGCUGGUACU
RNAcentral lists this long non-coding RNA (349 nucleotides) under Chloebia gouldiae (Gouldian finch). RNAcentral's name for it is "Erythrura gouldiae (Gouldian finch) lncRNA (ENSEGOG00005001395.1)". The record is from RNAcentral. Lineage: Eukaryota; Metazoa; Chordata; Aves; Passeriformes; Passeridae.